UAAAAUUUGAUUAAUAGGGUAAAAUUGAAUGCCUCGGAAUGGUGUUUUAUUAUAAAAUGGUAAAAUUAUUAAGAUUCUAAUUGAUAAAAAUAAUGCAAUAACACCUCCUAAAUUAUUAGGGAUAGAUCGUAGAAUUGCAUAUGCAAAUAGGAAAUAUCAUUCUGGUUGAAUGUGAACUGGUGUUACUAAUGGGUUGGCAGGUACAAAGUUAUCUGGAUCUCCUAAUAGGUAAGGAUUAAUUAAACAUAGUAUAAUUAAUAAUGAUGUUAUUAUUACAAAUGUAAUAGAAUCCUUAAAGGUAAAGUAUGGAUGAAAUGGAAUUUUUUCAAUAUCUCCAUUU
Molecule: long non-coding RNA, 340 nt
Organism: Schistocerca gregaria
Lineage: Eukaryota; Metazoa; Arthropoda; Insecta; Orthoptera; Acrididae
Exons: 2
Source: RefSeq, a predicted model, not a curated record